CUUGCCCCUAGAAGCCUUGCAGAUAUGGCUGCUGUGUCACACGUACAUCAGUAGGUGGCAGAGAGGAGAGAGGCUAUAUCUAUGCUCAGUGUUAUGACUUAUGAACAUCUGAAUGAUUAGUAGCCUAACAUU
Small nucleolar RNA from Mastomys coucha (southern multimammate mouse), 132 nucleotides. RefSeq annotates it as small nucleolar RNA SNORA17. The transcript has a single exon. Lineage: Eukaryota; Metazoa; Chordata; Mammalia; Rodentia; Muridae. The record is from RefSeq and is a predicted model, not a curated record.